CUAAGACAGAAGUUUUAAAGAGAGCCACACUAAAAGAGAAGUUGCACUAGUCUCAGUCUUGAGCCGAAUCUGAAUGAGCACCCCAGACUUAUCACAGUGCAUAAUAAGAAUAAAGACACUGUCACCUGCCUGCACACCAGUCUCCAUGGAGGUAAAACCAGACCUGCCAACAGCUGGCCCAAGCCAAAUCCAGACUGCCCAGAGCACUGACAAAUGCACAUGGAUACACCUUUCUGACCCACUUGGUUUCCCAGAGACAGCCUUCCAGCCCUAGGCUGUCUUCCUUAACAAGGCAAUGCAAAGAAAAAGUAAUUGCAUGUGGGUAGAAUCUUCUAAGAACUCUUAAUAUGUGGAACAUGUGGGUGAAAAUGCUCUGCCUUACUAAAGGGACAACAGCAUUAACUCCUGAAUCUUUAACGGCACUGACAGAAAAGUAAUUGCUGGCAAUUUUAAUCAAUCCAGAAUGAUUUGAACUCAGUAUCUUUGAAAUAUGAAGCUGACAUUUCUUUCAUUCAUUAUGUGAUCCUUAAGUUAACAUCCAUAGCAAUUUUUUUUAAAAAUGCCAUUCUGGCUACCUGAAACUCAAUAAAUAACUAAGAUUAAGAGGAAAAAAAACCCUUCAAAGUAGAGGUUAGAGUUUGCAUUUCUCUGAUUUCUUAACUCAUGCUAUAUUUAUUUUGCAACCACAAGUAUGAAAUAAAAUAUAAAAUAAAGAGUGAGAGGAGUCGUCCAGUCCUAGGAAGAAACAUCCAGAGAUAUACAGGCUCCAUUGAAGGUCUGCUGAAUUCUCCAGGCACAGCCAUCUCUCUAUGUCUUUACCAGGGCUGAAGCCUUAGUUCAUUACUAUUAUCCUUGCUCUAAAAAAAAAAGUACGCAGGACUUUAUCACAACCCAACAGAACAAAGCUCUCAGUCAUCACUUCAUACUUUCAACUGCCUUUUUUCCAAGCACCCUGAGGUACCACACUUAUUUUAGAGCUGUGUCCUAAAUAGGUGAAACAAUGGGGAAUUUUGGCUGAGGUCACACAGCAGCACAUGGCAAAGCACAUAUAGCAGCCCAGGUCCCUCUCAGUGACAUUACUGUCACCAGAUUUCUGAACCAGAAAGUUUAUAUGAUCACACCAUGGGAUCACCACAAAGCGCAGAUUUCCUGUACUUAUUAUCGCUCUUAAUGUCACUAUUUGAAGAGGCAGAGGAUGAAAUCUUGGGGUUGAAAAAACACAAAUUCUAAGCAGAUCCUUAGCAGGGACACCUCCCACUAUCCCAGGUUGUUCAGAGCCCUGUCCAACCUGACCUUGAACAGUUCCAGGAAUGGGGCAGCCACAGCAACCUGUGCCAGCGCCUCCCCACCUUCACAGGGACGAUUUCCUUCCUCAUAUCCAAUCUAAACCUCCUCUCUGUCAGUGUAAAGCCAUUGCCCCUUGUCCUGUCACUAUAUGGUUUUGUAAAAUAAUUUAUUUGAUCUUUCCAGAUACAACACUGGCUGAGCUCUACAAUGCUCUAACACAUGUUUGAGACAGCCCUGACAUUUUAAUAAAUAUACUCCAUUUACCUUUGAGGAAAAAUACUGAACUGGAAGGAAAAAAGAACCCUGAUGGCUGCAUUUGUUUAAUUUUAGAAGGAGACAGCUGUACUUCUUGUUCAGUGAAGUGCCACUCAUGAUUCUCCAGCCAGGAGCACUAAAAUCCACAGCAUUAUUUAAAGCAAGUCUGCCAAUUUAAUUAUUUGCCACAGAAAAUUUCAGGGAGGAGGCAGAAGGUUUAUUUUGGUAAGAAAUUCAAGCUUCAUGUCUCUAGACUGAAAUAUUCACUUUCUAGAAAACAAAUGUCAUUCUGAGCAGAGGAGAUGCAUUCUAAAUAAAAAUCACAACAAAUUCAAUAAAAAUCUUCAUGGGGGCUAGAAGUGGGAGAGCAGCACUUCUGAAGGAACAGGACAAGCGUAUUUGUGACUGCACUAUUUGUCACCACAUUCAUUUGGAAGAUUUUUUCUUUUUUGUGUUUGAAUGGAAAACAACCACUAAAAGCCCAUUAAAAAAAUAUAUAGUUAAACUGCAUUUGCCUAACCAUCAGCUAAAAUGACUGACUCACUUUUUCAGGCUAGACCUUCUUUUCCCCUCACUAUUACAAUGACUUUUUGAGAGGAGUCUAUGCUCACACACAUUCAAAACAGACCUUUGGCUGGAUUCAUCAAUCAGCUCAUCACAAAGUUUAAAAGUAACAACAACUCCUUUUACUUUUUUUCAGUUGUCCAAAUUAUGAAGAGGAAUCAAAAUGAUCAAGCAAUGUUUAUAUGAAGCCAUUCUGGUUUUCACAAAAUGCACAGAAAACUUAGCGGAGAAUGGGCUGUCAAAGGCACAUUUUUAAAAGAGGCAAGGAUGAACCUUGGAAAAGCUCAUCUCUCCUGGCAAAAAUAUUUUUAAAACAAGAGUCAUGGUUCUCUAUUUACACUGUGUGCUGUGAUGUAUUUUUGUUUUGGAGAGGGCUUUGUUUCUCAUAAUUAAACAAUCACUUCUCUUAUUUGUAUUAAAGCCAAAUAAUUUUUGUCAGUUGCAAACAGUUUGAGUUAAAAAGAAAAUAAAGCAGAGCUAGAUAUAACUCAUAAAAGGUAGUACCAAGUGUUCUUUAAGAUCCCAGUGAGAGAUGAUUUCACUCUCUGGAAACUUGUAACUGAAUAGUUUUAUGUCUGUCCUGAACAGAAUUCCAGUGACCCACCCUCCAGCUAAGGCAAUUCCAACUCAGAAGUCUAAGUUACAGAUACAGAUAAUUUUAGUAUCCAAAGUGAUAUUAUUCUCUCUUGCAGUCAACAAAUUACAUACACAUUUUUGAAAAUAAGCUUUGUUCGGGCACCAAAUGAGACAACUCUCCCAUUUUUUUCUUUUGUUUUAAAGAAUGAGGGGGCAUUUGAGACUGAGAUUUAACUUCAAACAGAAAUUUUAAAAAACCUAAAACCACAACCAAUCAAAAAACCUUAAAAUUCUUACUUUGGGUAGUCAUUUCCUGUUCUGCAGUGAUCAAGAGGUGGACAGCAGGGGAAAGGGAAGGAUCUCACAGUGCAAGAACAGGUAACACCAAUGUUAUUUAUCAGGAGUACAGCCCCAGAGAGAGACUUUUUACUGGAACAGCUCCAAUUUCUAAGGAAUCAAAGAGCAUUAGCCAGGCAAGGUUUUAGUGACACAGUGCCAUGGCCAAAGGAUUAGAUACUGGAUAUGGAACAGAACCUCUUACAAAGGCUCAUAGCCCAGUAUAACUUGAUUUUUUUUUUAUGCUAAAAUAACCCUAGAACAUAAAAAAAUAAAAUUUAAAAAAAAAACCAAGAAACUUGUAUCCUGAAGUUGUUAUUGAAUUUUCGUGAUAUGCGGGAAGAGUUGGAAAGUGCAUAGAUGGAAAUCUUUUUGUUGCAUUUAUCACAGCAGGAGAUCAGGAGACAGGACCAUGCAUCUGAUCAAGUGACAGCAAAAGGCGCUUUUUAAAAUACAAGAAAUUCCAUUUAAGGACAACACACUCUGACUGCCAGGUACUGGACAAAGCUUUAUUUUUCACAUGUCUAGAACAGAGGCAGCUUCAUUUGUCCAUGAGAAGCUUCUUAACUACGGAUGUCUUAAUCCAGGCUCAGUGAAGAAGACUGUUUUGUGUGUUGUAUGCUUUAAGUCAAGGACCUAAUAAACUGGAAGGCACAACAAAACAAAAGAAGUAUCUCACAAACUUUACAGACAGACAAAAUAAUCAUGAGUACGGCCAAGUUAUGUGACUGCUGAAGGAGCCAGACUGCAAAGUGGAAAAUCCCAUCAGAGCCAAGCAAGGAGGAAGCCAACUAAGACUGGCUACUUUCCACCACCAAAUGUCAGUCUCUGGCAGGUGAAAAAUCCAAGGCUACAAGUUUACACUGCAAGACUAUCCCACUGUGCACUGUAUUUUCUGCUCUGCUGGUACCCAGUGCUCCCCCACCUCCCGUGGGUUUAGCUUCACAAGAAAAGCUUCACCCCACUUCCCAUCUGGCAGUACUCACCAAUAG
Molecule: long non-coding RNA, 4010 nt
Organism: Passer domesticus (house sparrow)
Lineage: Eukaryota; Metazoa; Chordata; Aves; Passeriformes; Passeridae
Exons: 4
Source: RefSeq, a predicted model, not a curated record